This is a small nuclear RNA of Suricata suricatta (meerkat), 104 nucleotides long. The record is from Ensembl. Lineage: Eukaryota; Metazoa; Chordata; Mammalia; Carnivora; Herpestidae.
UUUUAGAAAAUUAAAAAAUAAAUAAAAUUGGAAUGAUACAGGGAAGAUUAACAUGGCCCCUGGGCAAGGAUGAUAUGCACAUUCUUAAAAUGUUCCAUAUUUUU